RNAcentral lists this unclassified non-coding RNA (416 nucleotides) under soil metagenome. RNAcentral's name for it is "partial contains 5.8S ribosomal RNA, internal transcribed spacer 2, and large subunit ribosomal RNA". The stretch from base 1 to 120 matches the Rfam family "5.8S ribosomal RNA", at positions 35 to 154 of the family's 154-position model. The record is from RNAcentral.
GAUGAAGAACGUAGCGAAAUGCGAUAAGUAAUGUGAAUUGCAGAAUUCAGUGAAUCAUCGAAUCUUUGAACGCACCUUGCACUCCUUGGUAUUCCGAGGAGUACGCCUGUUCGAGUGUUAUGAAGCUCUCAAAACGCAAUUGGCUUAAAACCUGAUUGUUGUUUUGGAUUUGAACUUUGUCGUGUUAUAACGGCUGGUUUUAAAAGUAUUAGCUGGUACUAGAACGAAUUGGUUCUACUCAACGUGAUAAUUAUCUGAUCGUUGAGGACAUUCCUUUCACGAGGAAUGGCCAUAGUAAAUUCAAUGGACUGCUUCUAAUCUGGCUUUAAUUCUUUAUUGGAUUAACCACUUUUCAAAUCUGACCUCGAAUCAGGUGGGACUACCCGCUGAACUUAAGCAUAUCAAUAAGCGGAGGA